Molecule: long non-coding RNA, 388 nt
Organism: Oreochromis aureus
Lineage: Eukaryota; Metazoa; Chordata; Actinopteri; Cichliformes; Cichlidae
Source: Ensembl
GUGAAAGUGUAAUGGUGGUGAGAGUAUUCAGAGACUAUUAGUCAAUAAAUGUUCCCAAAGAAUCAAGUAAACUGUAUGUGCAUUACAUCUCCUCCAAAGGCACUUGCUGUGAAGAGAAAGAGAAAGCUGAUCCGGGAGUGUUGGGAUGGUCUCCGCGGACUGCGGGGGAGACUUAGGAAGAGGAGGGCGAGCGUCAGCACUUGAACUCUGAGCUGAGGGAUUGAGUGAGCUACAGUUCAGACAAACCGAUGACCUUCAGGCCUUGUGUUUGCAGAAGAGGGAGCUGCUCUAUUUACUGCUCCUUGUGUGGCCUUAAUAAACAGCCUGCAGUGGGGACUUGUGGGCUCGAAAUUCAGCUCAUGAGCUUUUGUCAUUUCUUUAAAAAUAA